This is a long non-coding RNA of Mercurialis annua (annual mercury), 511 nucleotides long. RefSeq lists it as uncharacterized. NCBI's taxonomy places the organism in Eukaryota, Viridiplantae, Streptophyta, Magnoliopsida, Malpighiales, Euphorbiaceae. The transcript has 2 exons. The record is from RefSeq and is a predicted model, not a curated record.
UUUAUUAUUUUUUUACUCUUUUAAUUUAAAACAAAUACUCUACUCCUCUUUUUCCCUUUUCCCUAUUUCCUCUAUUUCUCUCGCACAAUACUUGCAGUUUUUUAUUUGUUCAGAGUUUCAAGGAGGCGUCCGCGGAGGCAGUGGAACGGAAAGCAGCGGCAGUGAAACGGGAAGCGGCGCCAGUGAAACGGAAAUUGGCGGAUGGAUAAUAAUGACGAUGUGGAAACUGCUAUAGGAAUUGGAAAGGCUGAAGAUAAAAAAAGUGAAGCAAAAGAAUCCGAAGAAACCUAAGGUGACCGCUGCGGAAGCUGCCGCUAAAAUUUGAUGCCUCAGAUCUCGACGCUUUUGACGCUGAAAUAUCGGGAUGGAUGACUCUUGCGACAGUGUCUCUCGCAACACUAGAGGUGGGAUGGAUGACUCUUGAAGAUGCAUGUUGUUUUUAGAUUUUUCUUAAAGAUGCAUCAUGUUGUGGAUUAUGAACCUUGGAGAUUUUUAAUUUCUUUGUUGAUUU